CUAUGAUGUCUCAGUUUUAUUUCUUGCUGGAAGGGAUCUGAGUUCAUAAAGCUGAGAAACAGGCUUUGUUUUUCCUUCCACAUAUGAAAGGUGAGCUUGUCCUGAGCAAAUGACCUAGGAGAGUAGAGUUUUAUGUAGUUUAUUUUGUUUAACACUGAGUUGGAACAUGUUGCUUGUUGAGUUCUCCCUUUGACUUCGCCCACCUGCAGAUCUGGCUUCCCGUGCCUUUGCUGGUCCACACCUAGAACACCCUUCCCAGUCUGGCCAACCUGUCCUGUCGCCAGAGAGCCAGCCUUGCUUGAGAUUGGACUGGAAUCUAAUAGGCUCUUGUUGCCACUCAGACGUAUUUUUAUUUUGUAAAGACUGACUUUUAUAUUAUGUGCAUGAGUGUUUGUCUGCAUGUGUGUUAUAUAUGUGUACCACAUGUGUGCCUUUUUAUCCGCAAAAAGAAGCCAUCAGCUCCUCUGAAACAAGUCACGGGUUGUUGUGAAAUCACCAUGUGGGUGCUAGGAACUAAACCCAGAUCCUCUUUGAGAGCAGCAAGUGUCCUUAACCACUGAGCCAUCUCUCCAGCAUCUUUCCCUCAGCCUCCUCCCCAGACUUCUUUCUUAGAUAUUUGUGUUAUAUUCUUAACUGGUUAAGACCCUGGAGGGUCACAGCUUUCUUACUCCUCCAUCUCUCAGUCUUGUGCAGUCUGUGGUCUCAGUUUUGUUCCUUUCUUGGUUUUAGCCAAGGGUGUGGAGAGCAUUUAACAAAAGGAUAAAAUGGAGUGUUUCCUGUCCAGAAAGAAGAAUGGGAGAUGGUUCCUGUUGAGAACUAGUCCUGUGCUUCAUGUCUCCUGUCCUUUUGUGGCACAGACUAUAGAAAUAACCUGACUAAAGCCCAUUUUCUGAGCUCCUCCUCUGGUCCGUAGUCAAAGGGCUGUUCAGGGAUAUGGUUACGCCAUUACUGUGGCUCAUUUUUAUAAUGCCGUCCAUGGGGCAGGACAGAUUGGAGCCAAGCAUCUGGAAUCUUGUGCAUGUGCACGUGCAUGCACACAAAACUUGAGGGUUUGUGUGUGCUGCCAUUUCCAGAGACGCUUAACUGAGAUGGGAGGACCCACCCUGGGUGUGGGCUGCAGUAGUUCAUGAGCUGGUAGAGCCUAAGCCAAAUAAAAGGAGAAAGCCAGCUAAGCACCAGCCAUCCCUGCUGUCUGAUUGCUCACACAUGUCCAGCCACCUGAUGGGCUUGCUGCCAUGAUGGACUGUACCUUCACACUGUGAGCCAGUAUAAGCUUACCCUCCCCGCCUCCCUUUUGUUUGGGUAGGGGAGGUAUUUUGUAAUAACAUCAAAGACACUAAUGAAUAGGUCUGUCAAGAAUCUCCCAACACCCCCUGAUAAACUCCAUAUACCACUCUGAAAAAGGGAAAGGGAAAGGAGAAGGGUCCUGUUUGUCAGUGAAGCAUCCUAGUGAGAGAUUGAAAGCCUGACUGGCCUGGGUAAUACGGCCGCUGUUUUGCAUGUCAUUUACAUUGUAUUUAAAUAUUCAAGAGGAAAGUAUCUUGUUCAAUUGGUGGUUUAAUGUGUUAACAACAGGCAUUGGUAGCCUACUUUGUGGUUUAGAUCAUAAUCUUGUCUUCAGUAAUUGAGGGGUAUGAAGUGUAUAGUCAUGUAAAUUAUGAGCCUUUUAGCCACUUAUGAAAAAAACUUUAUAGUCUUAUAAGACAAAAAGCUGUUGCCUUUGAAUCCUAAAUGAAGGUAUAUUCAAAAAACUCCUAUCUAUUCACAGCUGGGAGAUGGCAGCACUCAACUUUUAUCCCACCCAUCACUUCCGGGGCAGAGGAAGGCUUAUUUCUUAAGAAUUUGAGGCCAGCCUGGUCUAUAGAGUUCCAGGAUAGCUAAGGCUACACAGAGAAACCCUAUUUAGUCUGGAGUGUGAGUAUGGCAUUACAGAAACAUGGACAACUCAAAAGCUGCGGAAGCCAAAGUCCACCCAGCAUGACCCACCUGGAGCUCACUGUAUUUUAUGCAGGAAGCUCAAAAGGCCAGUGUGGCGGUAGAGAGAAAUGCCGAAGAACAGCUUCAGGCUGCGAAGAUGAGGGAGGGCAGGUGGGAUGGCAGGCGCAGUGGAUGAAGGUCCCCGGUGGAAGAAGAGAACGCUGGCUUCCUGCAAGGUGUCCUCUUACUUCCACACUGGAACAGUGUUUGCAUCCCUGGGGAGCAAACCCUUCCUUCGCCCUGUGCACAUAGCAAGCACUCCACACUGAGCUAUAUCUCUAGCACCAACACCCAAUUUCUGGGAGGAACCCGACUGAGUUGAGAGAAUGAAGAAAAGACACCCAUAUAAACACACAGAAAAGCUGCAAUCGGGUGGACUGGCUCUCUAAGGUGAAGAAAGCUC
Long non-coding RNA from Mastomys coucha (southern multimammate mouse), 2380 nucleotides. RefSeq lists it as uncharacterized. NCBI's taxonomy places the organism in Eukaryota, Metazoa, Chordata, Mammalia, Rodentia, Muridae. The transcript is spliced from 4 exons. The record is from RefSeq and is a predicted model, not a curated record.